GAAUAAUGCUUUUUCCUUAUGAAUUCAGUGGGAUUCCUCCUUCGAUGUAGACGGCAUGAUUAUGCAUCUUUCCCUUGCUCCUGACAAGGGCAUUUACUAAAGAGCGCAGGAGAUUUUAUCAUCCCCAUUUUCUGAGGCAGAAAGGAGCGUCUAGUCCAAGGAGGAAACACUGGAAUGAUAUGUAAGCCCUGUGAUCUGUGUCUUCUCCUGGUACUGCUCUCCUUGUUAGUGCCAAAAGAAGUAAGCGUGUCAGGGUGAGGGGGGAAUGUGGCUUCUGCAGGCACAAGCGCUACACCAGGGUGCAGGCUCUGCCACACCCUGCACCCCUCUCAGUACCGAAGUCGUGAAGUCAUUGCUACUGCUGAUCUCAAGGUUGACGGAACUGAGGCUCCUUCCCAAGGAGGCCAGCGAGGUCUCUCCAAAUUGGGUAGAAGAAACUGACAUCACGUGGUGUAGCCACUGCUGUUGGGCCUCCAGGACCAGCUGCACUGGGGCUGGCAGAGGAGCAGGCCAGGGUGAUGAAGAGGAAAGCUUCGUCUCAUGGGCUUCUGAUGGCACAAGGCGCCCAGAGAUCUCACACAAGCAGGUGCAAUUGCAGCCCACUGCAAGGCCAGCUGACAUUUCAGUCAACCUUUGACAUCUGACAGAUAAAUAUGCUUCUUUCCCUGGGGAUCCUGGAAUACUGGAAUGCCCACGGAGACCCGAGACAUCCCAUCUACCUUCGAAGGCACCACUGCUUUGAAGUGCAGACCAUCACAAUUAAGGAACUGAUGAAGGAGGACAUUUGGAACCAAUGUGCCACUUAGGAAAAGAUCACCUUGGGACAGAAAGGUCAUGUUUGGAAUUUUAAAAAACCAGUGAGAAGCAGCUCUGAAUAGGGAGGGGGUCAGGUUUUGUGAAGUCUGAACCUUAUGGCAUCUGGUGGUGGAAAGGCCUUUCCAACAUGGAGACUGUAAAAUGACAAACACAAAAUUAAUAUGGGAACUGCAUGGAUCCUUGUCUUAGUCACCUUAUUCGUCACUGAGAUGCAAUACAAAUUAUGUGCUUUGUGUGAGACACAAAUUAACAGAGGAGAGUUUAUAGGGGUUUCAGUCGAUAGUCUUCUGGCUCCGAGGCAGGACAACAUGGCGGAGGGACAUGGCGGAAGAGAAGCUGCUCACUUCAUGGAAGCCAGGAAGCAGAGAGUGAAGGGUUGAGCGGGAGGACAGAUACACCCUUCCAGAUCACACCCCCAGUGACCCACCUCUUCUGACCAGACCCCACCUCAUAACAGCAGAUCAGCUAUGAGUCCCCAUAAUCCAAUCGCCUUCUAAAAGCCCACCUUGAUUCCGUGAGGAUAGCAAGACAUAAACCGUAACAGCCCUGAAUUUCUAGGCUUCCCAGCUUCCCAGUAAGUCUGCUGUGGCCCUGUGGAAAGCCUCCUUCUUAGUCUCAGGCCAUCCUAAAAGAACUGAGAGCCAGUUGCCUGGUCUGCCCUGCAGACCCUCUCCCCAGAAUAGCAGUAGUUACCAACUGCUCUGACAUCUGACUCUCAACCUGACCCUCUGGCCUUUGGCUCAGUCUGUACGAAGCCCCCUCAGACUCUCAACCACUGCUUUGUGCCAGGCAUUGGGGUUAGAAACCAGAUUAAGUCAGUUUAGCCCAUAAGGAAAGAGCAUAGUAACAGAAAUGACAAACAUAUAAAGCAAUGUCUAAGAUGGAGGUUAGCAAUGGGUGUUUGGGAAUACUCACAAACAGCUUGCAAGCACCCAAGAAGGGGUGAUCUGCUUAACAAUGGAAGGAGAGAAGGUAGACACGCAAGGAUAAAGAUCAGUUCACCAAGUGUGAUGGUUAAUUGUGGUGUCAACUUUAUUUAUUUAUUUAUUUAUUUUUGGUUUUUGAGACAGAGUCUCACUAGGUAGUUGAGACUGACCUGGAACUCACUAUGUAGUCAAGGCUGGGCUCGAACUCACAGUGAUCCUCCUGCCUCAGCCGCCUGAGUGCUGGGAUUACAGGCGUGCACCACCACGCCAGGCUGUGAUGUCAAUUUUAAUGGAUUAAGAAACACCUAGCAAAACAGUGGAGCACAGUUCUAUGCGCAUCUGUAGAUGAUUGACAUAUAAGCCACAAACUGAGGCAGAAAGACCCACCCCACAUGUGGGUGGCACUAGGCUUGCAGGCUGGGUGGAAUUAAAAAAGUGGGGGUGGGAGUCUUCCCUUUUGUUCCUUUAGAUUUUUGGUCUUCACCUUUGCCUUUGUAGGUUGGUCUCCAGUUUCUUCAGGCUUCGAGUACAGACCCUUCAGCGUUCUGAGGUGGACUCACACCAGACUCUGCAGUGAGCUCCAGGCCUUCAACCCUUGACUGGAUCCUCCAACUCUGCAGCACGUAGACAGCCAUUUUGCAUUCUUCCACCCCUGUUCUUUCAGGCAGCUAUUUACUUAGUAAAUUCUUUGUCUAUCUCAUAUGUGUGUGUAUGUUUUAUAUUAAAUGUGUUCCUCUAGUGAACCCUAACCAAUGUACCAAGCCAAC
RNAcentral lists this long non-coding RNA (2509 nucleotides) under Fukomys damarensis (Damara mole-rat). Its description in RNAcentral is "lncRNA (ENSFDAG00000026013.1)". Lineage: Eukaryota; Metazoa; Chordata; Mammalia; Rodentia; Bathyergidae. The record is from RNAcentral.